Molecule: ribosomal RNA, 422 nt
Filed under: uncultured bacterium
Lineage: Bacteria
Description: bacterial SSU rRNA
Rfam family: Bacterial small subunit ribosomal RNA
Source: RNAcentral
AGAAUUUUCCGCAAUGGGCGCAAGCCUGACGGAGCGACGCCGCGUGCAGGAUGAAGGCCUUCGGGUUGUAAACUGCUGUUAUCUGUUAUGAAUCGAUGCAGGUUAAUAGCCUGUGUCGUGACAAAGGCAGAAGAGGAAGUCACGGCUAACUUCGUGCCAGCAGCCGCGGUAAGCCGAAGGUGGCAAGCGUUGCUCGGAAUUACUGGGCAUAAAGGGCGCGUAGGUGGCGCAGUUAGUCGGCGGUGAAAGCCUGUGGCUCACCCAUAGAAUUGCCGUCGAUACUGCUGUGCUCGAGGGCAGGAGGGGAGAGUGGAACUCCUGGUGUAGCGGUGAAAUGCGUAGAUAUCAGGAGGAACGCCGGUGGCGAAAGCGACUCUCUGGACUGCUCCUGACACUGAGGCGCGAAAGCUAGGGGAGCAAAC